RNAcentral lists this small nuclear RNA (24 nucleotides) under Arabidopsis thaliana (thale cress). RNAcentral's name for it is "snRNA_03938". Lineage: Eukaryota; Viridiplantae; Streptophyta; Magnoliopsida; Brassicales; Brassicaceae. The record is from RNAcentral.
AUCUACCUACAAUGAAAGGGCUGA